This 343-nucleotide ribosomal RNA is filed under the name Boasaxius princeps. Its description in RNAcentral is "partial 12S ribosomal RNA". Lineage: Eukaryota; Metazoa; Arthropoda; Malacostraca; Decapoda; Axiidae. The record is from RNAcentral.
GCUAUGUUCUUUAAAUUUAAAGGAUUUGGCGGUUGUUUAGUCUAGUUAGAGGAACCUGCUUAUUAAACGAUAAACCUCGCAAUAUCUUACCUACUUUAUUACAGUUUGUAUACCGUCAUUAUCAGAUUACUUUCAAAGAAAAAGUGAUUAUUGUAUGUUUAUACAUUAAAUAUUAGAUCAAGGUGCAGCUUAUAAGUGGGUUUAAGUGGGUUACAAUGAAUUUUAUUUAUUACGGAGAAUAAAUUUAAAUAUUUAUUUGAAGGAGGAUUUAAUUGUAAAUUUAAUUUAAUAAGAUAAAUUGAUAUUAGCUCUAAAUUAUGUACAAAUCGCCCGUCACUCUCUG